Molecule: ribosomal RNA, 341 nt
Filed under: Teredothyra dominicensis
Lineage: Eukaryota; Metazoa; Mollusca; Bivalvia; Myida; Teredinidae
Description: SSU rRNA
Rfam family: Eukaryotic small subunit ribosomal RNA
Source: RNAcentral
AUGCAUGUCUAAGUACACGCCUUUACACGGCUAAACUGCGAAUGGCUCAUUAAAUCAGUUAUGGUUCCUUAGAUCGUACAAUCCUACUUGGAUAACUGUGGCAAUUCUAGAGCUAAUACAUGCAACACAGCUCCGACCCUUGCGGGGAAGAGCGCUUUUGUUAGUCCAAAACCAACGCGGCGGUCGCUCACGCGGCCGUCGCUUCAACAUGGUGACUCUGAACAACUUUGUGCCGAUCGCACGGCCUUUGCGCCGGCGACGAAUCUUUCAAGUGUCUGCCCUAUCAACUUUCGAUGGUACGCGCUAUGCCUACCAUGGUGAUAACGGGUAACGGGGAAUCA